This 91-nucleotide transfer RNA is filed under the name Robiginitomaculum sp. RNAcentral describes it as "tRNA-Ser". It matches the Rfam family "tRNA". Rfam says of the family: Transfer RNA (tRNA) molecules are approximately 80 nucleotides in length. Lineage: Bacteria; Pseudomonadati; Pseudomonadota; Alphaproteobacteria; Maricaulales; Robiginitomaculaceae. The record is from RNAcentral.
GGUGAGGUGGCCGAGUGGUCGAAGGCGCACGCUUGGAAAGCGUGUAGGCGGUGUUCCCGUCUCGUGGGUUCGAAUCCCACUCUCACCGCCA